CCCACCAAAUUAAUAUAAUGGUGGAAGAUGUGAAUGGGAAUUGUUGUAAGCUGCCUAAGUCUUAUUAAGGCAGACAGACAGAGACAGACCUCACCACUGUGUCUGCGCUACUGCUAGAUCUGCGAUUGACCAGAGGGGAAACAAGAAGCAGAGCAGCCACUGUGCAGCCACCGCAGGAUGUCACACACAUCCUGGGCUUGCAGAAUGAAACCUGCCCCCAAGGAAGCCUGGCUGCAGCCAGACUCUCUGACCAACAGACUGUUUCCAGAACAGCCUACAGAUGCUCAGAGUAAGGGCUGAGUCCUCCGCGUGUGUGCAGCGCAGCAGAGGAGACAGACAGUAGUGG
Molecule: long non-coding RNA, 346 nt
Organism: Thunnus maccoyii (southern bluefin tuna)
Lineage: Eukaryota; Metazoa; Chordata; Actinopteri; Scombriformes; Scombridae
Exons: 3
Source: RefSeq, a predicted model, not a curated record